UAGCAUAUAUGGAAGAUGGAUUUUCGUACACUUAUUGACAUUAUGAGUUUGUGGUGAUGUCAUUUGGGUUUUCGAAUGCACUGGUAGCAUUAAGAAAACCUAUUAAUGUCUUGUGUGCGCACUUGGGCAAGUGUGCGAUUGUCUUCAUCGAUGACAUCAUGAUUUAUUCUCGUAGCAGAGAGGAGCAUGCUGAGCAUUUAUGGAUCAUGUUAGGUAAGCUUGGAAAGCAUCAGUGGUUGCUAGCUGAGUAAGUGUAGCUUUCACGUGGUGUCAGAAGCAAGAAUUGCUGUAGAUUCAGAAAAAAAAAUUACCACACUUUCAAGGUGGUCAACACCUAAGAGGUACAGAGAUCUGAAGCAGUAUUAUCAUUUGCCUGGUAUGAAGAAGGAUGUUACUACAUUUCACAAUGUCAGAUGUAUCAGGUGGUUAAGGCUAAGCAUCAGGUGCCUAGCAAGUUACUACAAAAUCUGCCGUUGCCAUAGUGGAAUAGAACAUGAUGACUAUAGAUUUUGUUAUUGGACGACCGACCACCUCAGGUGAGAGGAAUGCUAUAUGGAUGAUCGUGGAUAGACUCACCAAGUUAUCUCAUUUCUUAGUGAUUAAGAAGAUGGACUCAGCUGAUAGGUUGGCACAGAUUUACAUCCGUGAGAUUGUGAGGCUGCAUGGAGUUCCUGUCAGUAUUGUAUCGGAUUGGGAUACAAAAUUCACAUUUGCAUUUUGGAGAACCUCUCAGAAGGCACUUGAGACAAAGGGUUACAUGAGUACAACCUAUCAUCCGCAGAAAGAUGGAAAAUCAGAGAUGACCAUUCAGACCUUGGAAGAUAUGUUCAGGGCUUAUAUUUUGGAUUGGGAAGGGAGCUAUGGAAAAUGUUACCUUUAGCAGAAUUUGCUUACAACAACAACUAUCAUUCAAAUAUUGAGAUGGCAGCAUAUGAGGCACUUUAUGGUAGGCUUUCGUACAUCACUUUAUUGGACAUAAGUGGGGAAGCGAGAAUUUAUAGAACCAUCAAUGGUUUAAAAGACAGUAGAGCAAGUGGACAUGCUCAAGGUCCGGAUUUAAGAAGUUCAUGAUCGCCAGGGGAGUUAUGUGUUCAAGCACCAUAAGGAUUUGGAUUUUCAGGCAGACGGCCUAGUAUACCGGAAAAAUGAGAAUGUUUUAGGGAGGAUCUACGACUAAAAAGCUAACAAAAAAAAACAAAAAAAAAUCUGGACAUACCCUGCCAACUGAGAUUAUAGAUCAGUAAGUGAAAGAGGUGCAAGGGAUGAUGAUCAUGUUGGGUAAGAGUUGUUGGAAAAGAGACAUGAUUCAUUAGGAGACCUGGGAGACCGAGUCAAAGGUCAUGAAUGAAUAUCAAAAUUUUAUUUUGGAAAAUAAAAUUAGCAGACGAGUCUAGACUUGAAUUCGAGGACGAAUUCUUUGUUAGUGGAGAAGAAUUGUAACGACCCAGACCCAAAACCAAGAUGUGGUUUAUCUAUUUAUUUCUUGGACCAAAUAUUUAUUUAAACCGGUGGUUUGGUUCAAUUAUUUAAUUGAAUGAUUACAUACCUAAUUAUAUAAGUGUACGCAUUCUCUUCUUCAUUUGUUGCCGUCAACAUCAUCGUAGAGAGAGGGAGAGAGCUAAGCCAUUCUUCAUCGCUAUCUUCUUCUCCAUAUUAGCCACCUCUCGUUGGUCAGCACCAGAAUCAUCAUGUUGACCUGAGGCAGAGUCGGAGAUUCCUUACCGUGUCGGAACCACCGUUCUUAACAAACCAUCGCUAGUUUGAUCCAAGCCUUGCUGGCGAUUUGUUGUGUGUGCCAUCACCACCGUCCACAUGAGUUACCGCCGGAGUCGUCACAGCCUUACCGCCACUGGAGAGCUGAGCCGUGUCACUGGAGAUCUGGACUUUCGAGCCGUAGCUAUGUCCGAGAAGGUUAAGUGUAUUACACAAGAAACAUAUUUAACAUGCACUUUUAUCGUGGGCAUGUGUAGGAAGCGAUCAUGGACCUUAUGGGUGACUUGUUUGCCAAGUCAUUCUCUUUAAGGCCUAGAUGUUUGACGAGGCAUAUCAGAUUUCGGGUAUGGUAUGAUCAAUCUCCGAUUUUGACUAAGGUGACGGUCAAUUCCGUAAAUCCUCUACCAGUGUAGAAUUCUUUCUAUCGUAGUUUAGAUUUCGAAGCAUGAAUUAAGUCUAUUUGAGUCGUGUUUGGUAGUUAGUUCAUUCAUUGUAAACCGGUAUUAGGGGUCUGGAGGAUUCAACUAUUGAUUGGAUUGUGUGAUGCUGAGUUAUGAGAUAUAUAUAUACAUUAUGUACAUAGUUAUGAGUAGGGACUAUGUGCGAGGGCGGGGGUUCAAGGAUGCCUGAACUAGCGAGGCAACUAUUGAGGGCGGGGGUUCAAAGACGUCUGGGCUAGCGACGCAGCUUUGUGUGGGGCGUGGUGCAGAGACGUUUGCAUUGACGCAGCUUUGUUGGGCGGGGGUACAGAGACAUACUGUACUAGCGACCCAGCAUAUGUAUAUCCGUAUGAGGAGGUGCGGGGUGUGUGGUUUAGCUAUGCACUAUCAGCGCAUUGUUUGUUAUGUGUGAUGCUUUAGGCGUUUUGUUUGUUCAUGUUAGAGCUAAACUUCCAUAGUGGGAGUUCUAUUUACUCAAGUCAGUGAUUGUGCGUGGGUAGCAUCCCAUACCUCGCUGAGUGACUCCCCUGUUGCUCAUCUCUCUUUUCUCUCCCCUUUCAGGUGAGACUGACGGACAUGAGUGAUUGCUAUUGGAUCAGUGCUUUUGGGUGUAUUUCUUUCAUUUCUUUUCAGACUUUCGGUUUUAUGAUUUUAUCGCUAUUUUCAAAGAUUUAUUCUAUUAUUUGGAUUUAUGACUAUUUAUUGAAUUUAUGGUGUUGAGUUGACUUUUGAGAAGUAAUAAAUGAAGAUUUUCAGAAAUUAUUAUUUAUUAUUUUAUUUUGAGAAAUGCGGGUGUUACACUUCUUAUUCUGGAAACUGGAACUAGGCUUGGAACAUAUACAUGAUAACAAGAUUGAUCACUCAAUCUACGCCAUAUAUUCCCUUGAACUUGUUUGUAUAUCUCACCCUCACCCAAUUCGUAAACAUAUGUGUAAACAUAUGCCUCCUUGUAAUCUACUUCCUCAACCCAUAAUAACAUAGUCUUUUUGGUCUUGUAGAUGCGGUAUGCCAAAAAAGAGAGGGUAAUACUGGGAGAUCAUCGAGAGUUAAAGUACUUGCUCCACGAGACAUCUCCAUCGGUCAACUUAUUUAUGUCAAGAAAACAUUGAGACCGUUAGUACUCAAAUUAUCAAGUUUAUGCAGGCAGUUCAAUUCGUCGUCUUGCAAGAGUUUCGAGAUUAAGAGCAAAUUAGGGCCUCGAGUACCGUGAGGAUCAGCAGGAUUGUCAAUUGACCACAAAAGAAAGUCCAUUGUCAUCUUAGCCAAUCUUGAAAAUUUGUCGGCUGGAGAAUUGCGUACCACGGUGAUUAAGACUCGGGCAUCUUCAUAGUCAAACUCGUCAUUGUCAACAUAGGCAUAGAUUGAGAUGCCACCACAAGGACAAGGAACAAGAGCACGAACAGCUGAUAAGAUAUUCUCAUAAAACACAGGGAGUUGUAGACCGAGAGGGAGAGGGUAAUCAGAGACAUCCCAGAAGACGCAUGUUUCAACACCCUGAGGCAUGGAGAAACUUUUGGUAUGGGCAUCGGGAGGUGGGAGCUCAAUAAAAUAUCUCUGGCUAUGCUUUACAUCUUCAUCUUCUUCCUCAUGCUCAAGGUGGUCAAGUAGGUCAAAUAGGUGUGGACAAAGCAACACUGGGAUUCUCUCAGGCCCAAGAACCACAUUGGAGGAUACAGUGAUUCCAAAAUUACUUUGUGGUGCUUCAGGCAGUGCAAAUAAAACAGGGAAGCCUCUGCUUGUCAAAGAAGCAAGCACCCUACAGAUCAUCUCUGUGUCUUGUGCCAAUUUUGUGAUGAUCACCAACGGGGAUACGUGAUCGUCAUCGUGUGAAGCCAUUAAAACAGCAUCCACUAACAUCAUAUAGUUUAUUUGAUGUGCCUCUUCUUUCGAAAAUCUUAAAAUAUUGUCGCAUUCAGGACUCAAGAAAUACUCAUGUUCCAAGUC
This is a long non-coding RNA of Brassica napus (rape), 4097 nucleotides long. RefSeq lists it as uncharacterized. Lineage: Eukaryota; Viridiplantae; Streptophyta; Magnoliopsida; Brassicales; Brassicaceae. The transcript has 2 exons. The record is from RefSeq and is a predicted model, not a curated record.